This 1361-nucleotide long non-coding RNA is filed under the name Lonchura striata (white-rumped munia). RNAcentral describes it as "domestica (Bengalese finch) lncRNA (ENSLSDG00000009621.1)". Lineage: Eukaryota; Metazoa; Chordata; Aves; Passeriformes; Estrildidae. The record is from RNAcentral.
CACUUAAUGGAAAAAUUGAAACUGCUGGAGGCAAGUUCAUCAAAUGUGGGAUGCACAAUGAAUCCACUCUGGGCUCUGUCUCUGAUUCACCACAUGACAUGAAUCUAGCGAUUUGCCUCUGCCUGAAGCUUUCCUGACUUCCCUGGUAUUUGCAGGAAGGUCCAUGGUUAUCCUGUGGAAGCAGAUCUCCAGGAGAACCAUCCACCUCAUCCCUGGCAAGCAGAUCCAGGUUCCUCCACAGUUUCCCAGCAGGAUUUGCAGUGGGUGGUCGCAGACUGGAGAGCUUGGCAGCUUUUUCAAUGGUACUGUUUGCUGCAGAAACCACGUAUUUUUACCUUUGUAUGGAAUAAUCACAUCCUGAUGAAAUCCAGGAUUUGUGCAGCCAAGCUGACUUUGCAAGUGCCACCACCUUUUGCAGCUACCAGGACCCCAACCCUGGAUUUCCCAAUCCUCUUCCUCAGCUCUUCAAAUCCUUCUUCCUAAACCACUCCUGAGCCAGAAGAGCUGUCCUCCAGGACCUCCCAAUCCAUUUUUCCCAUAUUGGGCAAGAGCUCCCACACCAGCAUCCCCUUAUCUCUGUAGAUCCAUGUCCAGAGGGUCCUUGGCUACCCCAGUCUGCCCUGACUGCCUCACCUUGCUGAUGCAUCUGCAGCCCUCCCUCAGGGCACAGGGGAGGCCAAGUGGAGCCUUUCCCUUCUCCCACCACCCUGUCUUGGAGUGUGGGAAGCUCAGUGCUCCUGGGAGGUUGGGAUGAGUCAGUGUUUGCACAUCCUGAGUCACUCCAGGGAGUUGCCAGAGAAGGAGGGGGAUGCCCAGUCUCAUCUGGGGGUGUAAAUAUCCCAGGAAGUUCUGUCCAAAAGAAAAUUCCCAUUGGGAGGUCACCACCUUGUAGGGUUGCUUCCAGCAGGGCCACCACCAUGGACCAGAAGUGUCACCCCAUGAGAAGAAGUUAUUUCCUGUCCCUGCUUCCGUGCCACAUCCCCAACCCAUGUGUCCUUGGAAACUUCCUGGGACAUGCCUCUUAGCUGUUCGCUCAGAGCAAGUUUUUGGAACCAGGGCAUCCAACACACCAGGGAGGCCAUGGAGAACUUGCCAGGCAAGUUCUCAAACCAGGGCUUUUGGGAUGUCUUUUGAGUAGAAUUCAUUCCCAGUCCUCCCACCGCUUGCAAUUUUUAUCAAUAUUUUUGGGGGUUUUUGAACUAGAGAUGCUUCUGAGCUCCUGUGAUGGCUUUGGGAGUGGAUUGGCUUAGGAGUCCAUUCCUGGUGCUCAAAGCAGGUUUAGGAUUUAAAGGGGAGAGUGGACACCCUUGCUGACACCCACAGGCACCUGGAUGUCCUCUGUGCCUUGAUGAAGCCCCAGA